GCGGGUGUCGUAUAGCGGUUAUUAUGCGACCUUGCCAAGGUCGAGACGGCAGUUCGACUCUGCUCACCCGCUC
This 73-nucleotide transfer RNA is filed under the name Parcubacteria group bacterium ADurb.Bin305. RNAcentral's name for it is "tRNA-Gly". It matches the Rfam family "tRNA". Rfam says of the family: Transfer RNA (tRNA) molecules are approximately 80 nucleotides in length. The record is from RNAcentral.